Lycium ferocissimum is the source of this 779-nucleotide long non-coding RNA. RefSeq lists it as uncharacterized. The transcript has 4 exons. The record is from RefSeq and is a predicted model, not a curated record. NCBI's taxonomy places the organism in Eukaryota, Viridiplantae, Streptophyta, Magnoliopsida, Solanales, Solanaceae.
AAAAAAAGAAAACAGCCUCGCGAACUAUCUACCUUCAUCUUCAUCCUCAAUUUGUGCUAAUAUCUGUAACAAUCUGUUCUUACAACUUUAGGGGAUAGAAAAUGACACAGCGACUUGGUAUAUAUGCAAUCACUCCUGAAAUACCAGACUGGACCUGUAAAGUGCAAGUUGUGGAUAUAUGCAAACCAGGAGAAGGUUCUCACCGAAAGAUAAAAUAUUUGAACAUGAUCUUUCAAGAUGAACAGGAAGACCAAAUAAAAGCUAUUGUUUACGGUGACGAAAUCCCCUCUUAUCAAGAUAUAUUCAAACUGUUCCACACCUAUUUGAUAACGGGUGCGCGCAUACAAGUGCCAAAUUUGAGAUAUGAAAGACCCUUGCAUACAUUUGAGUGGAUUAUCGACAAAAAAAUCAUAGUUGAUCCAAUUGAAAAAGAUAGUCCAGAUGAGGAUGAAUUGCCACCACCCACAAAGCUGAAUCUUACGUCAUUUCAAGACAUCAACAAUCAGGCCUCCCAGUCUACCAAAGAGCAGCUUAAGGACGCAGAAUUUAGUAUGGUUAUAUUACUUCUUUUCAGUUUAACUUUUGACACAUUCAUUUAUUAAAUACAAAUUGUUUUGCCAAUAGAUAUAUUCGCAAUUGUUGUCUGCUGCUUCCCGCCAAGGUUUGUUGCAAAAGUCUAGAAAAGAUUGCAAGAACUCAUUCUCAUCGAUACUGACAAAUAAGCUUUCACCUUCACACUAUGGGAAGAAACUAUUAUUGUAAAUUUUUCAAAAAAACGU